This is an RNA transcript of Nicotiana tabacum (common tobacco), 2751 nucleotides long. RefSeq lists it as uncharacterized. The record is from RefSeq and is a predicted model, not a curated record. NCBI's taxonomy places the organism in Eukaryota, Viridiplantae, Streptophyta, Magnoliopsida, Solanales, Solanaceae.
CAAAAUAUAUUUCAAAACCCUAGAAUCGUAAUAUCCCAUUCUAAUUUCUAAAAGCUUUGUGUUCUCGGGGAGCAAUUACAAUCCAGAAUACUCGCAAACACUUGAAUUAGAUAGCUAUUUCAUCAAUUCUUCGAGAAAGAUUGUGGCUGUUGGAAAGAGAUUUUGAUCAAAUGAGGUUCAAAAAGGGUGAUAAGGUGGAAGUAAUGAACAGAGCUGAGGUACCAAUCUCAUGGCGCGCUGCCGAGAUAGUGUCUGGUAAUGGCCACACUUCCAGUGUCAGAUAUGGAUCUGGUUCACCAAUGCAAAGUGAAAAUAUCGAAGAAAGGGUAUCAAGGAAAAUGAUAAGGCCCUGCCCCCCUGUAGUGCAGUGUGUGGAGACUUGGGCACCUGGGGACAUUGUGGAGGUAUAUAAUGACUGCUCUUGGAAAGUUGCCAUCGUGCUCAGUAUUUUACCACGUGAUCGUUAUUUGGCGAGACUACUUGGUUGCUCGCUGGAACUUAGCAUUCAUAAAUCAGGCAUGAGAGAUAGACAAAAUUGGAAAGAUGGCAAAUGGAUUUUUAUCAGAAAGGGUUGUGAUCAAGCUGGGACCCAGAGAUCUAACAAAAUUUCAGCUCAAGAUUAUAGUCAGAAGAUGAAGUCGCAGCCGCUGCAACUUGAUGCACAUACUAAAGUUCUUGGAGAAACUGAUGGUUUAGCCACUGAAGGGAAAAAUAGAGGACAAGAGUCUUGUUUAAUCUCAUCAAGAUCCCUAAAGAGAAUGUCUCCUUAUUGCACAUCUGGUGUUGAUUCACUUUAUGGGAAUGCUCAGAAAUUUCAAGCAAUCGAGACAGAUAAUCGCAGGCAACGAGCAGCUCUAGUGACCUUACAGGAAAAGGGCCAAAAAUUGAAGCAUCAUUCCUUGCUUCCAUAUGUAUAAAGUUGAUGCUGGGAUUUGCGGCCAUUCAAGUGGCAUAAAAUGGGGAUACCGUAUGCAUCUGCUUUCCCAGAAAUCUUGGCAAAUCUCUCGUAUCACAGGUGUCUCAAGGCAGAAGAUACUUGUCUUCCUGACUUGGUCAAUGCUUUAGUUAUUGCAAGGUGGUACAGUCGAGCUAAUGUUCUCAUAUAGUAAACAUGCUGUGUCCCAUCCACAACACUACAAGGUAAGUGCUAAACAUAAUGGUUGACCUUCUCCUAACCUUGCUUACCCUGGCUACUUCAUAAUGUUAGUUAAGGAAUAUUACUUUCUCUCAAAUUUUUUUCUGGUUGUAUUGGGUCGGGGAGGGUGGGGCCAUGGUUGAAGGGGCGUUUCACUUGCAGAGGUGCCAGUUGAUACCUCAAGUGGUGAUUCCAGAUAUCUGUUUGGUAGUCAUCCUUGUUUUUUCUUUAUUUUCUAUGUGAUCUUAUCAUCCUCCCAAUUUGAUGAUUAUCUCAUCUACCAAAUUACUCUAGGACAUCUGCACUUUGGAUAUUUCUCUAAGCUAAAGUUAUACAUUUGCACUUUAGCAAAAUCAUGUAUUUCAAAACGAGAAUCUGCUCAAGCAUGAAUGCUUAAGAUUGCUCAGUUUUAAUGAAUUACACCCAGAUAUCUGUACUUUAUGAAUAAUUUUUGGCAUUUCUCUAUCUUCUCUGUUAUGUGAAUGAAAGAGAGACAACAAAAAGUUGAAGGUGUUCAGAAUUCCAUUAUUGCCAUUUGAGGUGUUGAGUUCCGGUUAGACCUUUCUUGAGUUGCUAUCUUUUGAAAGGUGUUUACAGCAGGCCAAACCGGGCAUGUGGAAGCAUGAUGAGGGGUUUUAGAUAGUGGUGUUGCCUUUUUUUACUUUAAAACCUGAGAAUGCCUUGAUCCACUAUGUUGAGGUCAGAUGCAAAUUGUACAAGGAAAAUAAGAAGGAAAAUGAACUUGACUUAUUAUCUUGAUAAGCGAAUCAUUGAGCAUAAUGAGUUGAGCGAAGGAGUCAUUUGGGUGGUGCCUCAGGAUGUGAGAAGCUUACGAGUUUGGCCCAUUAUGCAUCUUGUGGACCAUAUGAUUGGAAUAAAACAAUAGAUGCUUUGAAGGAAAGAGACAACCUACCUCUUUUGUAGAAAAUAGAUGUCAGCAGGUUAUUUAUACUUGGGAGCAAUAUGCUGGAUAGUCCAUCUUUUCUUUUGAAUUUGUUGGAGGAUAUGAUGCUGUAACUGUUAUGAUGCGCUUGAUCCUCUCUUUUGUACUUCUAUAGUAACCUUCUUUGUAAUUCAUAUUAUAAAUACUUUAUUUUACCACACAAAAAAAGAGUUGAGGUAAGGACUUUGCAAUCUUAUUACUUUGCUCCGCAACCAAUACAUGCCUUUUCUCUUUUUCCUUUUGUCGAGGCAUGGAUCGUUCAAGCUUGUAAACAAGCCAUUAAAACUCGGUAUGCAUCAGUCUUGUUAUCUUUGCAGCACCCUGAGACAAUGAACUAUCUCAUAGAAACCAAUUUAUUUUCCUUUAUGCAGUUAAUUUCACUGCCUGGGAGUUGGGGACAUGACAAUGGCACUGAGAUCUUCUAGGAGGGAUGAUUGCAGCAAGUAUGUAGGGAUGAUUGCCUGGGAAGUGUUUGUUAUGUUGUAUGUAGGGUAUAUAUUUCAUCCGCAAUGAAGAUACAAAAUGUUUAUAGGGAAGUGAUGAUGUGUUGAAAGGGGUUUAGCCCCUCUUGCACCCGGGCAUCACCCUCAAUUCUGUGUUUCUGUGUAUAACUUGCAUCUUGAAUUCAAAGUAUAAUUACCCAGAGAAUAUGCCUUUUCAGUCUAUGCGUUAA